UCCUUAAUAAAUUAUAAAUAAGAGAAAUACUUUAACUACUUUAUAGUUGCACCUCUGAAUCUGAAUCCAACAUCAUGGAUCGAAAUGGCUCUACAGAGCCAAUCUUUAGUGAUGAAUGCUCAAAUAGAGGACAGGGAGGUGUUUCUCAUCAUCCACAGUCUGGAGUUGAUAGCCCAUCUAGCUUCCGAGGGGAUCCGCAAGGCGAUGGAUCUGUACAAUGGAAAUGUUUGGAAGUCAACUGUGAUGCAACCUCCGUUCCACUUUCCUGUCCCAUCACUUCCCUUCCUCCACACUCCAACUUAGGAAACACCGAUAUUCAACUACAACCACCAAACCUCUCCAAUGACGGUGCCUGCUUCUCCGCCGCUCU
Molecule: long non-coding RNA, 370 nt
Filed under: Capsicum annuum
Lineage: Eukaryota; Viridiplantae; Streptophyta; Magnoliopsida; Solanales; Solanaceae
Description: long non-coding RNA (CANN_LNC005568)
Source: RNAcentral